RNAcentral lists this ribosomal RNA (372 nucleotides) under uncultured eukaryote. RNAcentral describes it as "partial 18S ribosomal RNA". It matches the Rfam family "Eukaryotic small subunit ribosomal RNA", at positions 592 to 976 of the family's 1831-position model. The record is from RNAcentral.
CAAUAGCGUAUAUUAAAGUUGUUGCAGUUAAAAAGCUCGUAGUUGAAUUUCUGUCAGGAGCGACCGGGCCUUUGGAUGAACUUCCAUUGUUUUUGCUCUGUUUGUCGUCUCUAGACAUCCUGAAAUAUUUUUUUUGAAAUAUUUCUCUUUUACUGUGAAAAAAUUAGAGUGUUCAAAGCAGGCUUAUGCCGUUGAAUAUAUUAGCAUGGAAUAAUAAGAUAGGACUUUGGUACUAUUUUGUUGGUUUGCGCACCAAAGUAAUGAUUAAUAGGGACAGUUGGGGGUAUUCGUAUUCCGUUGUCAGAGGUGAAAUUCUUGGAUUUACGGAAGACGAACUACUGCGAAAGCAUUUACCAAGGAUGUUUNCAUUAA